Long non-coding RNA from Propithecus coquereli (Coquerel's sifaka), 284 nucleotides. RefSeq lists it as uncharacterized. NCBI's taxonomy places the organism in Eukaryota, Metazoa, Chordata, Mammalia, Primates, Indriidae. The transcript is spliced from 3 exons. The record is from RefSeq and is a predicted model, not a curated record.
UGUGCCUCUCGCAGCCCUCGAACCCUGGGGAGCUGGAGCUGCCUCGAGUGCACCUCAAGGAUGGGGAAUUCACCUGCCGAGCUCAGAACCCUCUGGGCUCCCGGCACGUCUCCCUGAGCCUCUCCCUGCAGAGGAAAUCGGGGUCCGUGGCAGAGGUGGCUCUGGUGGCCGUCGUGGAAUCUGCUGUGAAGAUCCUGCUUCUCUGCCUCUGCCUCAUCUUCCUCAGAGUGAGGUCCUGCAGGGGGCAGGCGGCUCGAGCAGCAGGGGGCGUGGAGGAUGCAGAC